GCUCAGCUAGUUCAGUCAGUAGAGCAUGAGACCCUUAAUCUCAGGGUUGUGGGUUCGAGCCCCACGUUGCGUG
RNAcentral lists this transfer RNA (73 nucleotides) under Danio rerio (zebrafish). It matches the Rfam family "tRNA". Rfam says of the family: Transfer RNA (tRNA) molecules are approximately 80 nucleotides in length. Lineage: Eukaryota; Metazoa; Chordata; Actinopteri; Cypriniformes; Danionidae. The record is from Rfam by way of RNAcentral.